This 75-nucleotide transfer RNA is filed under the name Candidatus Omnitrophota bacterium. Its description in RNAcentral is "tRNA-Gln". It matches the Rfam family "tRNA". Rfam says of the family: Transfer RNA (tRNA) molecules are approximately 80 nucleotides in length. Their secondary structure includes four short double-helical elements and three loops (D, anti-codon, and T loops). Further hydrogen bonds mediate the characteristic L-shaped molecular structure. tRNAs have two regions of fundamental functional importance: the anti-codon, which is responsible for specific mRNA codon recognition, and the 3' end, to which the tRNAs corresponding amino acid is attached (by aminoacyl-tRNA synthetases). tRNAs cope with the degeneracy of the genetic code in two manners: having more than one tRNA (with a specific anti-codon) for a particular amino acid; and 'wobble' base-pairing, i.e. permitting non-standard base-pairing at the 3rd anti-codon position. Lineage: Bacteria; Pseudomonadati; Candidatus Omnitrophota. The record is from RNAcentral.
UGGGAUGUCGUUCAAUUGGUAGGACACGAGAUUUUGGAUCUCGGUAUUCUGGUUCGAGUCCAGACGUCCCAGCCA